This 72-nucleotide small RNA is filed under the name Mucilaginibacter lappiensis. Its description in RNAcentral is "Flavo-1 RNA". It matches the Rfam family "Flavo-1 RNA". The record is from RNAcentral. Lineage: Bacteria; Pseudomonadati; Bacteroidota; Sphingobacteriia; Sphingobacteriales; Sphingobacteriaceae.
GCAUGGCCGCAUUAGCGAUGGCAGUGGCAUCCUUUUUAGGAAAAAAAGAUAUAACGGACAGCGCGGGCCGAA